Molecule: non-coding RNA, 752 nt
Organism: Peromyscus maniculatus bairdii (prairie deer mouse)
Lineage: Eukaryota; Metazoa; Chordata; Mammalia; Rodentia; Cricetidae
Source: RefSeq, a predicted model, not a curated record
GGACUCAGAGGCUUCCAGUCUGAGGAAACAAGAUCAGCUGAGAAGUUGGCCAGGUACAAUGUGACCAGCCGCCUCAAGCUCCUGCUGCUACAACUUCCCUGAUGUGAGAGACUGUGCCCUUGACUGCCUGUGAGCCAAAAUGAAUCCUUCUUUCCUUAAGUAGAUUUGGUUCCAUAUUUUGCCACAGCAACCAAACAGUUAAUACAAACCAUGCUAAAAAACAAGAUCAGGACUCCAGGAGAUUCUGUGUCCCAGCUUUCUUGCUGGGCCCUCUGGUGAUGGAUGGAAGCCAGGGCACUUCCUGCCUCCACCCCAUUUAUAAAGAUGAGUGUGGUGCUUGUGCCUCAUGACAGAAACUUCUCUCUGCAACAGAUGGAGACCACUACAGAAAACCACAGUCGAUUAAGAUUCAGAGUUGUGGAGCUCACUCAAUUGAUACAUCUACAACUCCCACGCGUAAGGCUUAGGGGUCCUUGCAAAAGAGAGGAUGGAAACAUUGUAAGGGCCAGAGUAACAGGAAGUUUGCUGCGGGAUCGUGUCUCCUAGAAACGUCAGAGAAGCUACACCCACAAAUUCUCACCAACAUGGCUGCCUAAACAAGACCAGAGCAAGGACAACAGCAAUAGCCAUGCUAAUGUGGAAGGUAGGAAGCUCAGGAGACCUCAGUCCUAGACAAAGCUAAAAUAAACCCUUUCUCCCCUAAGCUGCUUUUUUAUUCGGGGUAUGUAUCACAGAACUAGAACAGGUGAUAA